GUAGGUGAACCUGCGGAAGGAUCAUUAUUGAAAUAAACCUGAUGAGUUGCUGCUGGUUCUCUAGGGAACAUGUGCACACUUGUCAUUUUUAUAUUUCCACCUGUGCACUUUUUGUAGACUUGGAUAUCUUUCUGAAUGCUUUUUUGUAGCAUGUCAGGUUUGAGGAUUGACUUUAUUGUCUGUCUUUACAUUUCCAGGUCUAUGUUCCUUCAAUAUACCCCUAAUGUAUGUUAUAGAAUGUAGUAAGUGGGCCUUUGUGCCUAUAAACCUUAUACAACUUUCAGCAACGGAUCUCUUGGCUCUC
RNAcentral lists this unclassified non-coding RNA (304 nucleotides) under rhizosphere metagenome. RNAcentral describes it as "partial ribosomal RNA internal transcribed spacer region". The record is from RNAcentral.